Molecule: ribosomal RNA, 492 nt
Filed under: uncultured bacterium
Lineage: Bacteria
Description: partial 16S ribosomal RNA
Rfam family: Bacterial small subunit ribosomal RNA
Source: RNAcentral
AUUGAACGCUGGCGGCAUGCUUUACACAUGCAAGUCGAACGGUAACAGGCCUUCGGGUGCUGACGAGUGGCGAACGGGUGAGUAAUGCAUCGGAACGUACCCAGAGGUGGGGGAUAACGCAGCGAAAGCUGUGCUAAUACCGCAUGUGAUCUGAGGAUGAAAGCGGGGGACCGAGCAGCAAUGUUUGGCCUCGCGCCUUUGGAGCGGCCGAUGUCGGUUUAGCUAGUUGGUGGGGUAAAGGCCUACCAAGGCGACGAUCCGUAGCUGGUCUGCGAGGACGACCAGCCACACUGGGACGGGAACACGGCCCGGACUCCUACGGGAGGCGGCGGUGGGGAAUUUUGGACAAUGGGCGCAAGCCUGAUCCAGCAAUGCCGCGGGCGGGAAGAAGGCCUUCGGGUUGUAAACCGCUUUUGGCAGGAACGAAACGGUGUCCGCUAAUACCGGGCGCUAAUGACGGUACCUGCAGAAUAAGCACCGGCUAACUACGUG